CGGCGAGUGAAGCGGCAAGAGCUCAAAUUUGAAAGCUGGCUCCUUCGGGGUCCGCAUUGUAAUUUGCAGAGGAUGCUUCGGGUGCGGCCCCUGUCUAAGUGCCCUGGAACGGGCCGUCAGAGAGGGUGAGAAUCCCGUCUGGGAUGGGGUGUCCGCGCCCGUGUGAAGCUCCUUCGACGAGUCGAGUUGUUUGGGAAUGCAGCUCUAAUGGGUGGUAAAUUUCAUCUAAAGCUAAAUACUGGCCGGAGACCGAUAGCGCACAAGUAGAGUGAUCGAAAGAUGAAAAGCACUUUGAAAAGAGAGUUAAAAAGCACGUGAAAUUGUUGAAAGGGAAGCGCUUGCGACCAGACUCGCCUCCAGGGUUCAGCCGGCAUUCGUGCCGGUGUACUUCCCUGGGGGCGGGCCAGCGUCGGUUGGGCGGCCGGUCAAAGGCUCCCGGAAUGUAGUGCCCUCCGGGGCACCUUAUAGCCGGGAGUGCAAUGCGGCCAGCCUGGACCGAGGAACGCGCUUCGGCACGGACGCUGGCAUAAUGGUCGUAAACGACCCGU
This 548-nucleotide ribosomal RNA is filed under the name Aspergillus oryzae. RNAcentral's name for it is "eukaryotic LSU rRNA". It matches the Rfam family "Eukaryotic large subunit ribosomal RNA", at positions 87 to 652 of the family's 3401-position model. The record is from RNAcentral. Lineage: Eukaryota; Fungi; Ascomycota; Eurotiomycetes; Eurotiales; Aspergillaceae.